GGGUGGCCGAGGCUCAGCCCCACGCGACGGGGCUGUCGGCGCGCUCCGAUGGGGCGGAAGCAGCCGGCGACCGCCGCUUUCUGGCAGGUGGAUUUGCACUAAAACAUCAAAGAAAGAGAAGUACUUGAUUCCUUUGCUGUUCUACAGGUUGGGAAGAGGAGACAGAAAAGAGAUUCUGUCCCUCCUGUAUUUCUGCAAGUUGAAAGAACAAUACGUGGUCUUGAUCUUACUGCCAAGCUUGUUGCCUUUCUGAAGGAAACCCAGCUGUUGAUGUUGCCAAGAAAAUGACAAAGAUACAUGAAAAUUGCACAGAAUCUGGAGCACGGGUUUGCAACCUUGAUCACUAGUUAUCAAAUAAUUCCAGAGUUUUACCCAUGAACUGGCACUAUUAAGAUCUUCUUUAAGGCACAUCUAAAUGAAGAAAUUCCACCAAUGUGGCGGUAGAAGACUUACAUUUCUGAUUCUUGCUAGACUUAUCAAGUUCCAAAUCUAAAAGUGCUCCAAAAUAUCCUGCUGGUGCCACUGCAAAAAUUAAGCUCGAGUCUAAGCCCAUGCAAAGGAAUCUUCAUGACUGUACAUUGGCUUGGCUGGAGAAAUGGCAAAUGGCCCAAUUGUAAGUUUCUUGGCUACACCCAGACUUAUUAAACUUCAAAAAUAUAUAAAAUUGAGGAAUUUUUUUAUUCCCACUAUUUGGUAAGGUCUAAAUAAAGCCUUUGAAACUUCACUUACUCAUGCAAAUGUUUAAAAUGCAGCUGUUCAAACUGGAACGCGUACAUUCAUCAAAACAAGGUACAGAGCAAAUGGUAAAGAAGACAUUGUGGUGGAGGAUAGGGCAUACAUCAAUAGGAAAACAGUUAAGAUUUAAUUCAUACAUAUUUACUUGAACAUGUAUUUAAAGCCAAGUAUUUCCUCCCAUAUCUUUGAAUACAUAUUUGUGUCUUUCUGUUUAAUGAACUUUUCAGUCCUCUCACUUCCCCAUACUUUUAUACACAUUAUUUUUUUUGUGCUGCUUAUGAGCUUAUGUGCUGACUCCUUAUUUUUUCUCUGACUGUAUUCACAUCUGUAUUUUAUCAUUUUGUUUGUCUGGCUAGCUGCAAAGCAAUACUCUCCAAUCUUGCUAGUCUGUCAGCAGUGUGAAAAUACCAUGAAAUGUAAGCCACCAGCAAAUGUGUGAACUACUGGAACUACUGAAAGCUGCUGUUUGCUGAGUUGUGAACUACAGAGAGCAUAAAAGCAGCAAAAUUUUUUUGUUGUUAAUACUGUUGAUUCUUUCCUUUUUUUUUUUUUUGUUGUUUUUUUUUGUUCUUGCCAUGGAUUUUGUAGUGGGUAAGAUUUGCUUAAAAAUAACAGUGAAUUGCGUAAACACCUUGAUAUUAACAGUAGUUAAAUAUUGACUUCAAUUUCAAUAUUUUAAAAAUCAUGUUUCACAGAAUGUAUCUUUGUAUAUUGUUCCUGAUAUUUGGCAGAUCGCUCUUGGCAAAUGCUCCUGUUGUGCCUCAAUCACAUCAAUGCACAGAUUGCUGUGUUGCCAUAAAACUAAUUUCAUUUGCAAUUUCCACAUGGGGUGAGGAAAUUGCAAUUAAGUGACUGAGACACGAGUGUGUUUCAUUCUGCUGCAUCUGCAGUCAGGAUGAUUGUCUGUAUUGGAGUGACAGUACAGACACAUGGGUCAGUAUUAUUUGAAAUUUCUUCACCAAGAUUCAACAAGUCUGUUAAUCAAUGUUUAAAAUAUAACUAUAGAAUAACAUUAAUAUAUUAUACUUAAUGUUUAUUAUCUCUCUUCUGCUGCUCAGAGGACUAACUGGUGUUCAUCAGGGAUUGGUGAGCAAUUUCUUGUGCAUUACUUGUCAUAUACAUUCAUAGAUAUAUAUAUAUAUGGAUAGAUAGAUAUUUGUCAGCAAUUAUCCUUUUCCCUUUCUCUAUCUUAGUAAAUAGCUCUAUUUUCAAUUCUCUCCCCAUCUCCCUGGGAACACAGUGGAGCGAACAAACAACUGCGUGGUGCUGACUGCUGCUGGGUUAAACCACAGCACUCAUGACUGUGGUUCACAAGAUCUGUCAUGCACAGGUUAAAGGAAAUGGGAUAGCUUGCAGCAGCAGCAACACAAAACCCAAAUCUUAUCUUCAAUGAAUUUGUGAAAUGUUUUGCUGCUGACUUCACUGAGGUCAGAAGUGGACUGCCUAACUGGGAAACUUGUUUUUAACAGUCAUCUAGAUUUUCACCAUUAAAAACAGGGGAAGAUGUGUGCUUGGAGGAUCUACUCCUCAAACGAGAAAUGUAUCCUUACAACCUCCAAGAUUUCAUUCUGCAAUAUUAAGGGCCAAUGAACCCACUAGAUCCAUGGAUCAGGCAUGUAACAACUCUACAGUGACUGAAGUCUUGAAGAUCAAAUGGCUUUAGUUUUGCCUGUUUUCUAAUAUUUUAUAUAAAUAUUAGGAUUGCAUGCCACAUAAUUAUUAAAACGCUUCUAAUUUACUGAAUUUAAAGUCUCUACACUUCUUGUUUUUUCAGUUUUUAAUAAUGCAUUAUUCACUUUGCUUGUUAAGAGGACAAACCUGCUGCUCAGUUAUUGCUCUUCUGAUGCACAGAAACUUUUAUGUACACACAUUUUACAACUUUUGUAACCUGAAAACAAGGUUUCCAUCAUGCAAUAAGACCAUACUCUGUACUGAAAACUAGGUAGGAAUUUUCAGCAAGAUUGUGUUAAUGCUUAAUGAGGGCUCCUUGGAAUUGGUAGUUUGGUCAUACAUGCUCUAAGAGUACCAUAGCAAUGAAUUAAUGCCUUUAAUCAAAUGUCUGUAUUUCAGAAGUUUCUUCCACUCUUCCUUAAGGUCAUGGUUAGGUUGAUAAUGCUUUUCUGGAUCAAUAUGCUGACUUGCUGGCAUACAUAAGCAAGGCUGACCUUUUGCUAGCACAGCAUAUGUCACAUCUAUAUGCAUGUUAAACACUUAUGCUAUGUUUUGGCUAUAUAAAAGAAGUUUAUUGUAUCUGGCCAAAGAAGCCAGAAUACUUUUUCAAAUUACUUGUACUAUUAAAGACCUAUCAGUUACAUCUGCAGCUACUAACAAUCUUGUAUCUCUUAUUACCAGAUAUUCCUGUCAUUUUUGCCAGUGCAGAUGAGGAUGACCUGUUGGAUCAUUGUCUCACUUACUAUAGAUUAGAAAGGAUAUGGCUAAGAUAACUUCACAUAGGUGGCUUAAUUCUGAAUGUCUACAAAAGCUGAAAGGUCUUACUGUGAUCCUCUUUGUACAGUUGAAGCUCACUGAGUGUGCAGAAUCAGAUCUCAACAGAUCCACAGGCCUGGCUUCCUACUUCAUUUCAGACAAGACCAGUUAAUUACUUCAAGCAGCAGUUCUUUGCCAGCUGAUGAAAAGCUAACUAACUCAUAGCAGCCUCCAACAGAUGAGUACACGACAGCAGUUACCUCAGGUGCCAGAAGAGUCCCAGGUACAAAAAUAUACCUCACCUCAGUGACUAAGCUUCCCAGCUCUGUCCUCUCUUGUGAGUCCUUUGCACAAGGAGUCCUGCUGUUGGCACUGGACUUUCUCCCGAACUGAAACACGUACAGUAAAUAUCCCAGCCCAGAUGACUUUGCUCUUAAAUUGCUUAUAAGAGUGGAUGAACUUCGCAACUCCUAGUAUAUAAAGGCCUUCAAAUCUUGCUGUGGUAUGAUUGGUAUGAUCUAAAAAGGAAGUAUUUGGGACAGUUUUUAGCUUUAUCUGGGUCUUAGCUUUUGUUUGGAAGGACAGCAGCAUUUUUACUUAGUCAUAACUGAGAUCCUGAAUAAGAAAACAGAGCCAGCAUCCUUCACAGGAUCACAGAAUAGUUCAUCCUCUACCCUCAUCUAAAGUGAGACCUGAGCUUUAGCUUCACUUCCUUUUCUCUCUCUCCUCUCCAAAGUGUGGGACCAAAUAAUGGGGGCAUUGCCUUGCUGCUGAUCCCUAGCAGAUACUGAUACAGAUACAGCAGCCCUGAGGAAUGGCUGAAGCCUAGUUUUGAAAUCCUGGUGGCUGAAGGAGUAAGUGAACCACAAGGUUUAAUGUUUUGUAUUUUCUCUUCCCUGAAAACAUAAUUUCAGGCUACAGAGAGUUUUCUACCUAGCAAUCUCCUCUAGACAUCUGCUUGUGGUAUAGACAGUUGCAUUCCCAAAGAGGAAAGAAAUCUGAAAGUGAAGGAACCAUUUAUCUUCAGCCUAUGGCACACAUUUUUGAUAUGAGAUGAAAGACCAGGCCCGAGCUGAAUCUUAGUUUUAUUAUGAACCAAUAUAAUUUCCACAAAUUAAUAUACUUUGAAACAAACACAGUCUCUAAGAGUUGGUUUCCUUUAAAAGUAUUGCCAGCAUUUUCUUUGUUGUUCAUCUGCCAAGAGUUACAUUUGAGGCAAUCAGUGCUAGAUGGGCUAAGCAAGUCCAAAUUCUUCUCUACCUAGAGAGAUUUGUUGGCAUAACUACAUUAAUGUAGUGGUCUUCUUACAAUUCCUUAUUCUGGAAGAAAAGUGCACAGUAAUGCUGCUGGAUUACUGUAAAAUUUUUUGUCAGUCUCAUUCAGUAAGCAGAAAUUUUAAACAAAAUAUUAUUAAUAGCACUAAAACUACACACAUAAAUGCUGCUGUCAUUAGUCAAUCUGCAUAAAUCAAUCAGUCUAUAAAACAGGGAAAUUUUUGUUGAUGCAUUUUUUUUUCUUACUGUAAGAAAUUAAUUCUUUGAAACAACACAGUAAAAAAACUUAUCUGACGUAAGUGAAUAUGUGGGUAUGCAUGUAUGGAAAGUGCUCCAUACACAGAACAGUGUAACAGAAAAUAAAUCACUCAUCCUGAUCAUCUUUUUCGCUCAGUACUAAA
Molecule: long non-coding RNA, 4837 nt
Organism: Centrocercus urophasianus (Greater sage-grouse)
Lineage: Eukaryota; Metazoa; Chordata; Aves; Galliformes; Phasianidae
Exons: 6
Source: RefSeq, a predicted model, not a curated record